GAGAUUUAAAAGGGACAGGAAAAUCUGGAAUAGCAUCUUCAACUAAAGAUGUCAAAGCACAAGCUCACUUCCCGCGGAAGGUAGCAGUUACUAUUAUCUACUUGACAGCUACAAGAACCUAGGCACAGAGGUUAAGUGCUCUGCAAAUAAUACCAGCCAGUGGUGGUAGUAUUCGCCAGAACCAAGUUCUUGCCUUCCAGUGGACACCAUUGACCUCUCAAGAUUAUUCUUUAAGUUAAAAAGAAAUGUGAAAUCUCUUAGGCCAAGAAGAACAACCUGAGGACUCUCUUUCUGGAGGUAAUUGAACUCCUUUAAUAAAUCCAGAGGAGAAAUCUGAGAUCAGUACGUCUUUUGUUUCUAUGAUA
Molecule: non-coding RNA, 365 nt
Filed under: Pongo abelii (Sumatran orangutan)
Lineage: Eukaryota; Metazoa; Chordata; Mammalia; Primates; Hominidae
Source: RNAcentral